Molecule: transfer RNA, 92 nt
Filed under: Desulfobaculum bizertense
Lineage: Bacteria; Pseudomonadati; Thermodesulfobacteriota; Desulfovibrionia; Desulfovibrionales; Desulfovibrionaceae
Also listed under: 2 other names
Description: Paradesulfovibrio bizertensis tRNA-Ser
Rfam family: tRNA
About the family: Transfer RNA (tRNA) molecules are approximately 80 nucleotides in length.
Source: RNAcentral
GGAGAGGUGUCCGAGUCUGGCUUAAGGAGCACGCCUGGAAAGCGUGUAUACCCUAACGGGUAUCGGAGGUUCGAAUCCUCUCCUCUCCGCCA